Molecule: ribosomal RNA, 441 nt
Filed under: uncultured bacterium
Lineage: Bacteria
Description: bacterial SSU rRNA
Rfam family: Bacterial small subunit ribosomal RNA
Source: RNAcentral
UGGGGAAUAUUGCGCAAUGGGCGAAAGCCUGACGCAGCGACGCCGCGUGAGGGAUGAAGGUCCUCGGAUCGUAAACCUCUGUCAGGGGGGAAGAAGCGCCUGUGAGCAAAUAGUUCAUGGGUUUGACGGUACCCCCAAAGGAAGCACCGGCUAACUCCGUGCCAGCAGCCGCGGUAAUACGGAGGGUGCGAGCGUUAAUCGGAAUCACUGGGCGUAAAGCGCACGUAGGUGGUGUGGUAAGUCGGGGGUGAAAUCCCACAGCUCAACUGUGGAACUGCCUUCGAUACUGUCAUGCUUGAGUAUCGGAGAGGGUGGCGGAAUUCCAGGUGUAGCGGUGGAAUGCGUAGAUAUCGGGAGGAACACCAGUGGCGAAGGCGACCUACUGGGCACCAACUGACGCUGAGGCUCGAAAGCAUGGGGUAGCAAACAGGAUUAGAUACC